This 261-nucleotide ribosomal RNA is filed under the name uncultured prokaryote. Its description in RNAcentral is "partial 16S ribosomal RNA". It matches the Rfam family "Bacterial small subunit ribosomal RNA", at positions 524 to 784 of the family's 1533-position model. The record is from RNAcentral.
UACGGAGGAUCAGAGCGUUAUCCGGAUUUAUUGGGCGUAAAGAGCGCGCAGGUGGUUGAUUAAGUCUGAUGUGAAAGCCCACGGCUUAACCGUGGAGGGUCAUUGGAAACUGGUCGACUUGAGUGCAGAAGAAGGAAGUGGAAUUCCAUGUGUAGCGGUGAAAUGCGUAGAGAUAUGGAGGAACACCAGUGGCGAAGGCGGCUUCCUGGUCUGUAACUGACACUGAGGCACGAAAGCGUGGGGAGCAAACAGGAUUAGAUA